This 1892-nucleotide ribosomal RNA is filed under the name Rexiella sullivanii. RNAcentral's name for it is "SSU rRNA". It matches the Rfam family "Eukaryotic small subunit ribosomal RNA". Lineage: Eukaryota; Fungi; Ascomycota; Lecanoromycetes; Lecanorales; Cladoniaceae. The record is from RNAcentral.
UAAAGUUAAGCAAUCUAUACGGUGAAACUGCGAAUGGCUCAUUAAAUCAGUUAUCGUUUAUUUGAUAGUACCUUACUACUUGGAUACCUGUGGUAAUUCUAGAGCUAAUACAUGCUAAAAACCUCGCCUUCGGAAGGGGUGUAUUUAUUAGAUAAAAAACCAAUGCCCUUCGGGGCUCCUUGGUGAUUCAUAAUAACUCAACGAAUCGCAUGGCCUUGCGCCGGCGAUGGUUCAUUCAAAUUUCUGCCCUAUCAACUUUCGAUGGUAGUAUAGAGGACUACCAUGGUUUCUACGGGUAACGGGGAAUUAGGGUUCUAUUCCGGAGAGGGAGCCUGAGAAACGUACGUACAAUAUUCCUUUUUUUUUUUUCGUAGUUAGGCAUAUCAAAAUCAAUGCUAACUUUUACCGUUAGGGCUACCACAUCCAAGGAAGGCAGCAGGCGCGCAAAUUACCCAAUCCCGACACGGGGAGGUAGUGACAAUAAAUACUGAUCCAGGGCUCUUUUGGGUCUUGGAAUUGGAAUGAGUACAAUUUAAAUCCCUUAACGAGGAACAAUUGGAGGGCAAGUCUGGUGCCAGCAGCCGCGGUAAUUCCAGCUCCAAUAGCGUAUAUUAAAGUUGUUGCAGUUAAAAAGCUCGUAGUUGAAACUUGGGUCUGGCUGACCGGUCCGCCUCACCGCGUGCACUGGCUUGGCCGGACCUUUCCUUCUGGGGAACCGCAUGGCCUUCAUUGGUCGUGUUGGGGAUCCAGGACUUUUACUUUGAAAAAAUUAGAGUGUUCAAAGCAGGCCUAUGCUCGAAUACAUUAGCAUGGAAUAAUAGAAUAGGACGUGUGGUUCUAUUUUGUUGGUUUCUAGGACCGCCGUAAUGAUUAAUAGGGAUAGUCGGGGGCAUCAGUAUUCAAUUGUCAGAGGUGAAAUUCUUGGAUUUAUUGAAGACUAACUACUGCGAAAGCAUUUGCCAAGGAUGUUUUCAUUAAUCAGUGAACGAAAGUUAGGGGAUCGAAGACGAUCAGAUACCGUCGUAGUCUUAACCAUAAACUAUGCCGACUGGGGAUCGGACGGUGUUAUUAUUUUGACCCGUUCGGCACCCUACGAGAAAUCAAAGUCUUUGGGUUCUGGUACGUAUUUUUUUUCAGUCUUAAAUUUUGCGAUUUUAUUAGAGUCAUAUGCUAACGUUUUACUUUUUAGGGGGGAGUAUGGUCGCAAGGCUGAAACUUAAAGACAUUGACGGAAGGGCACCACCAGGCGUGGAGCCUGCGGCUUAAUUUGACUCAACACGGGGAAACUCACCAGGUCCAGACACAAUAAGGAUUGACAGAUUGAGAGCUCUUUCUUGAUUUUGUGGGUGGUGGUGCAUGGCCGUUCUUAGUUGGUGGAGUGAUUUGUCUGCUUAAUUGCGAUAACGAACGAGACCUUAACCUGCUAAAUAGCCAGGUCAGCUUUGGCUGGCCGCCGGCUUCUUAGAGGGACUAUCGGCUCAAGCCGAUGGAAGUUUGAGGCAAUAACAGGUCUGUGAUGCCCUUAGAUGUUCUGGGCCGCACGCGCGCUACACUGACAGAGACAACGAGUUCAUCACCUUGGCCGGAAGGUCUGGGUAAUCUUGUUAAACUCUGUCGUGCUGGGGAUAGAGCAUUGCAAUUAUUGCUCUUCAACGAGGAAUGCCUAGUAAGCGCAAGUCAUCAGCUUGCGUUGAUUACGUCCCUGCCCUUUGUACACACCGCCCGUCGCUACUACCGAUUGAAUGGCUCAGUGAGGCCUUCGGACUGGCCCAGAGAGGUCGGCAACGACCACUCCGGGCCGGAAAGUUCGUCAAACUUGGUCAUUUAAAGAAUAAACGUGUGGUUCUAUUUUGUUGGUUCCUAGGACCGCCGUAUGUAAAUAGGGGAMGGGG